RNAcentral lists this ribosomal RNA (662 nucleotides) under uncultured Paracoccaceae bacterium. Its description in RNAcentral is "bacterial SSU rRNA". It matches the Rfam family "Bacterial small subunit ribosomal RNA", at positions 10 to 716 of the family's 1533-position model. Lineage: Bacteria; Pseudomonadati; Pseudomonadota; Alphaproteobacteria; Rhodobacterales; Paracoccaceae. The record is from RNAcentral.
AGUUGUAUCCUGGCUCAGAACGAACGCUGGCGGCAGGCCUAACACAUGCAAGUCGAGCGCUUCACUUCGGUGAGGAGCGGCGGACGGGUUAGUAACGCGUGGGAAUAUGCCCUUCACUAUGGAAUAGCCUCGGGAAACUGAGAGUAAUACCAUAUACGCCCUUCGGGGGAAAGAUUUAUCGGUGAAGGAUUAGCCCGCGUUAGAUUAGAUAGUUGGUGGGGUAAUGGCCUACCAAGUCUACGAUCUAUAGCUGGUUUGAGAGGAUGAUCAGCAACACUGGGACUGAGACACGGCCCAGACUCCUACGGGAGGCAGCAGUGGGGAAUCUUAGACAAUGGGCGCAAGCCUGAUCUAGCCAUGCCGCGUGAGUGACGAAGGCCUUAGGGUCGUAAAGCUCUUUCGCCAGAGAUGAUAAUGACAGUAUCUGGUAAAGAAACCCCGGCUAACUCCGUGCCAGCAGCCGCGGUAAUACGGAGGGGGUUAGCGUUGUUCGGAAUUACUGGGCGUAAAGCGCACGUAGGCGGAUUGGAAAGUAGGGGGUGAAAUCCCAGGGCUCAACCCUGGAACUGCCUCCUAAACUAUCAGUCUAGAGUUCGAGAGAGGUGUGUGGAAUUCCAAGUGUAGAGGUGAAAUUCGUAGAUAUUUGGAGGAACACCAGUGGC